UUGCUCAUUUAGACAGCACAUAUACUAAAAUUGGAAUGAUACAGAGAUUAGCAUGACCCUGCACAAGGAUGAAGAGUAGGUUUUAAAUUUUCAUAAAGUCCAAUUUAU
Non-coding RNA from Gorilla gorilla gorilla (western lowland gorilla), 108 nucleotides. NCBI's taxonomy places the organism in Eukaryota, Metazoa, Chordata, Mammalia, Primates, Hominidae. The record is from Rfam.